AUUGAACGCUGGCGGCAGGCCUAACACAUGCAAGUCGAGCGGAUGAAGGGAGCUUGCUCCUGGCUUCAGCGGCGGACGGGUGAGUAAUGCCUAGGAAUCUGCCUGGUAGUGGGGGAUAACGUCCGGAAACGGGCGCUAAUACCGCAUCCGUCCUGAGGGAGAAAGUGGGGGAUCUUCGGACCUCACGCUAUCAGAUGAGCCUAGGUCGGAUUAGCUAGUUGGUGGGGUAAAGGCCUACCAAGGCGACGAUCCGUAACUGGUCUGAGAGGGUGAUCAGUCACACUGGAACUGAGACACGGUCCAGACUCCUACGGGAGGCAGCAGUGGGGAAUAUUGCACAAUGGGCGAAAGCCUGAUCCAGCCAUGCCGCGUGUGUGAAGAAGGUCUUCGGAUUGUAAAGCACUUUAAGUUGGGAGGAAGGGCAGUAAGUUAAUACCUUGCUGUUUUGACGUUACCAACAGAAUAAGCACCGGCUAACUUCGUG
This 484-nucleotide ribosomal RNA is filed under the name uncultured bacterium. RNAcentral's name for it is "partial 16S ribosomal RNA". It matches the Rfam family "Bacterial small subunit ribosomal RNA", at positions 30 to 507 of the family's 1533-position model. The record is from RNAcentral.